GUUCAGCUAACCUAAACCUAUUAUCCACCAAAAUUAUCUCCAAAAUUCAAAACCAACAUGGCUGGACUUAAUGUCUUUUCUUUUUCUGCACCUCAUGACUUUCGGAGCCAUGUGCCUUGGAGUAAAUGGAGGAGUAAUGNNNNNNNNNNNNNNNNNNNNAGACAAUUAGUUUUAGUUGGUUCAGCUAACCUAAACCUAUUAUCCACCAAAAUUAUCUCCAAAAUUCAAAACCAACAUGGCUGGACUUAAUGUCUUUUCUUUUUCUGCACCUCAUGACUUUCGGAGCAUGUGCCUUGGAGUAAAUGGAGGAGUAAUGGGCUGAAGUUAAUGCCUCCUCUUCUCUUUCAUAUUUUGAUUUUUUAUAGUCAGUGUUUUGGAGAAAAUGAAAAGACAAGAGACAAGCUGAUUUUUAAUGUAGUGCUGUUUUAGAAAAAUGAAGAGACAAGUUGAUUUUUAAUGCAGUGCUAUCUUGAAAAAUGAAGGGACAAUAGAAAUCAAUAUGAGGC
This 506-nucleotide long non-coding RNA is filed under the name Elaeis guineensis (African oil palm). Its description in RNAcentral is "long non-coding RNA (EGUI_LNC013087)". The record is from RNAcentral. Lineage: Eukaryota; Viridiplantae; Streptophyta; Magnoliopsida; Arecales; Arecaceae.